Molecule: ribosomal RNA, 253 nt
Filed under: uncultured bacterium
Lineage: Bacteria
Description: partial 16S ribosomal RNA
Rfam family: Bacterial small subunit ribosomal RNA
Source: RNAcentral
UACGUAGGGGGCAAGCGUUGUCCGGAAUCAUUGGGCGUAAAGAGCGCGUAGGCGGUCCGGUAAGUCGGUUGUGAAAACUGGGGGCUCAACCCUCAGAGGCCGACCGAUACUGUCGGGCUAGAGUCCGGAAGAGGCGAGUGGAAUUCCUGGUGUAGCGGUGAAAUGCGCAGAUAUCAGGAGGAACACCGAUGGCGAAGGCAGAUCUCUGGGCCGUAACUGACGCUGAGGAGCGAAAGCAUGGGGAGCGAACAGG